Molecule: long non-coding RNA, 124 nt
Organism: Stegastes partitus (bicolor damselfish)
Lineage: Eukaryota; Metazoa; Chordata; Actinopteri; Pomacentridae
Exons: 3
Source: RefSeq, a predicted model, not a curated record
AAAAAGUUGUGGAUUGAAGAAGAAAGCCAUUGUCUUUUAUUGUGAUGGUCAAAGACCCCUGAAUUCAUUCCCUGUUGCCAUGUGUUUUCCCAUCACCUUUUGUCAUGUGUUUUCCUACCUCCUG